Molecule: small nuclear RNA, 143 nt
Organism: Phyllostomus hastatus (greater spear-nosed bat)
Lineage: Eukaryota; Metazoa; Chordata; Mammalia; Chiroptera; Phyllostomidae
Product: U4 spliceosomal RNA
Exons: 1
Source: RefSeq, a predicted model, not a curated record
AGCUUUGCACAGUGGCAAUAUCAUAGCCAAUGAGGUUUGUCUGAGGAGUGAUUAUUCCUAAUUGAAAACAUUUCCUAAUAAACAUGCUAAAUAAGUCCAUACAUGAGAAUAUUCUUCAGUACAAUAAUUUUAGUUUUAUAAAA